AACGAACGCUGGCGGCAGGCCUAACACAUGCAAGUCGAACGGGGUCUUCGGAUCUAGUGGCGGACGGGUGAGUAACGCGUGGGAACGUGCCCUUUGGUUCGGAAUAGCCCCGGGAAACUGGGAGUAAUACCGGAUAAGCCCUACGGGGGAAAGAUUUAUCGCCAAAGGAUCGGCCCGCGUUGGAGUAGGUAGUUGGUGAGGUAAUGGCUCACCAAGCCGACGAUCCAUAGCUGGGUUGAGAGGAUGAUCAGCCACACUGGGACUGAGACACGGCCCAGACUCCUUCGGGAGGCAGGAGUGGGUAAUCUUAGACAAUGGGGGAAACCCUGAUCUACCCAUGCCGCGUGAUCGAUCAAGGCCUUAGGGUUGUAAAGAUCUUUCAGUGGGGAAGAUAAUGACUGUACCCACAGAAGAAGCCCCGGCUAACUCCGUGCCAGCCGCCGCCGUAA
This 449-nucleotide ribosomal RNA is filed under the name uncultured bacterium. RNAcentral describes it as "partial 16S ribosomal RNA". It matches the Rfam family "Bacterial small subunit ribosomal RNA", at positions 29 to 523 of the family's 1533-position model. The record is from RNAcentral.